AAAAAGAUAAGCUAAUCUAAGCUGAAGGGUUCAUACCCCUUUUAUGGUAUUUCCUCUUUUUA
Molecule: transfer RNA, 62 nt
Filed under: Caprella acanthogaster
Lineage: Eukaryota; Metazoa; Arthropoda; Malacostraca; Amphipoda; Caprellidae
Description: tRNA-Met
Source: RNAcentral